Molecule: RNA transcript, 3609 nt
Organism: Oryza sativa Japonica Group (Japanese rice)
Lineage: Eukaryota; Viridiplantae; Streptophyta; Magnoliopsida; Poales; Poaceae
Source: RefSeq, a predicted model, not a curated record
CUAGCCUCCCAUACGAUCUAACGCACUAGCCUGUUCCCCAUCCUUCUGCGCUCGCAUCGCCCGCAACCACCCGUCCGCAUCCGUCGCCUCACGCCUUGCGCUAUCCUCUCCCCCUUGCUCGCGCCCGCUCGCCGCCUCGUCCUCGCCGUCCUCGGUCGCGCCAGCGUCGCCGCCGCCAUUGAUCCUCCCCGACGCCCUCUCCGUCCUUCCCCACAAGCGACGCCACCGCCGCCCCACCGCCCCGACGCCCUCUUCGUCCUCCUCGCCACCGCCAUCGCCGCCCCAUCGACUCCCUCUCCGUCCUCCUCGCCGCCGCCAUCGCCGCCCCACCGCCGCCCCAUCAACGCCCUCUCCGUCCUCCUCGCCGCCGCCAUCGCUGCCCCACCGCCUCCCCACCGCCAGCGACACCGCCGCCAUCGUUCCCCACCGCCGCCAUCGCCGCCCCACCGCCGCCCCAUCGACGCCCUCUCCGUCCUCCUCGCCGCACCACCGCCAGCGACGCCACCGCCGCCCCACCGCCACCGCCAUCGAUUCUUGCUACCAUCCUCACCACCGCCAUCAUCAUCCUCCCCCACCGCGCUGCUUUCGAUUCCCCUGACCGCCCCGCGUAGCCGCCGCCAUCGUUUCUCCCCGACGCCCUCGCCAUCCUCCUCGCCACAGCCAUCACGGUCGCGCCAGCGACGCCACCGCCGCCCCACCGCCCCGACGCCCUAUCCGUCCUCCUCGCUGCCGCCAUCGCCGCCCCACCGACGCACUCUCCGUCCUCGUCACCGCCGCCACCGCCGCCCCACCGCCAGCGACACCACCGCCAGCGAUGCCACCGCCGCCCCACUGCCACUGCCAUCGAUUCUUGCUGCCAUCCUCACCACCGCCAUCAUCAUCCUCCCCCACCGCGCUGCUUUCGAUUCCCCUGACCGCCCCGCGUAGCCACCGCCAUCGUUCCUCCCCGACGCCCUCGCCAUCCUCCUCACCACAGCCAUCGCUGUCCUCCACCAGCUCCCUCCCCCACUGCCGUCCUCGCCGCCGCCUGUCGCCGUCCUCACCCACCAGCUUCGACGCCGUCCAUCCUCCCCGCUGCCCUCACUGUCCUCCUCCACCAGUGCCAUCCUCCUCCACCGCGCCGCUAUCCUACAAGAAAAAUGAAUUUGUGAUUUAGAAGUAAAAUAAAUGCGUACAAUAUCACUGACCCUUGAAGUCAGAUGUGAUACAUCUUUGAGUGUUGAUCUUAUAAUGCUGGCUAUAAUCCAAUGUCAGAUGUUAUAUGUUGCUUGCUCAUGGAUACAAAGCAGUGGAUUUAUAAUGUCGACGGCAAUGCAGCUUAAUGUACAAUCUGUUUUUAUAUACAUCUGUUCAUGUGGAUUUACUAUUGUGAAAUCUGCUUGCGAUUUUUCUUCAUUUCUUUCUGAUCUACCAAACUGAGAUCAUAUUUACAUUUGUCUGAAUCAGAUUUUCUUUCUGUUAUCAGAUGAAAAGUUCAAAAGCAAACUAAUCAGAGAAUUUCUUCUUGCAGGUAACAAGCCUGCCGCCAGGCCUUGGUUCUGGGGUUCUCCUCCACCAUUCCAGUCUUCGCCGACACUGCCCGUGCCUCCAUCCACCGCCGCCGGAUUGGAACUGCGCUUGUGCGCCGCCUUCGUGCCGCCUUUCUGGCUUACACACAUUAAGAUAUGGAUAACAAUAUUGGGGGCUCCACACCAACAUCGUUAAGAAGAUCAUGCCCUUUUGCUGAUAUUAAUAAUGCGAGUGCUGGGGAUUCGCCCAAAAAACGUAACAAUAUUGGGGUCUUCACACCAACAUCGUUAACAAAAUCAACCCCGUUUGCCGAUAUUACUAAUACGAGCGCGGGGGAAUCACGUAUAAACAAUGUGCCUCAAAAGGAAAAUAUGCAAAAACUGCAAGAAGAUGGUGCUAAACUCAGCGCAUUAGAAUUAAGAAGGAAGCGUGCUAGAGAGAGGUAUGCAUCAAUGAGCCCAAAGAAAAAGGAGGCGAGGAAAAUGAAGGCCCGUGUGUACAAGCAAUUGAAGGAGGAUGAAUACUCAGCUCCACUUGGUGAUAUUACAAAUGUUAGUGUUGAUGAUUUAAGAAGAUGCCACGUAAAUGAUUGUUCUACACUGCAGCAAGGAUCAAACCAUGCAUUAUUACAGCCCGUUGAUAGGACUGGACCUGGAAGUGAUCAACAACACAUGAUCACACCUCGGUGUCUACCAUUUACAGUGAUCAACAAUGUAGCUCAGUAUGAUAAUGUGGAUCACACUGGAUCCCCUUUCAGCUGCAUACUUCAAGGUGCAACACAAAACAGCCAUACACUACCUGCAAAUACAGAUUAAUCCAAACUAUGGGGUGAGUGUAUUAUUAUGUUGGAAAACAAAUAAGGCGGUCAUGACGACCAGGGAACAAAUCGAAGAUACCAAAGACAGUGAUGACGAUGUUGUUAUAUUGGGUAGUCAUCAACAGAAAUUCGGCUCUAAAAGGGACAUCAAUGAAAGUAAAGAAGUAAACAAAAAAUAUAGUUCACUACUCUCCGUGGUAUCUACGAUGAGUAAACAAGAGUUGAUGAGCGGCCUUUUGCAGUACAUCCAACAGAUGAAUUGUGCCGAAGCCAUGGAAAAAUAUAAGUACAAAGUUCAAGGCCGCACUUUAUUAGCUUGAGUCUCAAACAGCUUCAAUCAAUACUAAAGAAGGAUGAGCCAUUGGAAAGUGAUUGCUUCAACAUGGCUAUACGAAAGUUCAUGUAUGAAAAAAUCCAGACAAUUCAUAAAACUAAAGAAGCAAUAUCGAAUCAUUGCCUGGACUUGCAAUUUUGGAGCGCUAGUGGCUUUGGUAAAGACCCGGUCCACCAUGACAACGUACAUCUUGAAAAGACCAUUGGUAGUUGGUCGGAAAUUCAUUACAAACUUUCACAUUGCAAAGCGAUUCUUAUACCAGUACGCCAUGCUCGAAGCUUUAUCGUGCUCAUAGUGGACCAAUAAAGUCAAACACUCUAUGUAUUAGACCCAAAUCCACUUAUGCCAGAAUAUAAAAAUAACCCAAACAUGAGAUACACCAGAAAACUGAUAACUAUUUGUGACCACUUUAACAAAGCUAUGAGGAAGGCAUGCCCUGGCUCUAGGUGGAAUGAAGACAUCAACUUGUGGAGGCAAGUAUUUGUCAAUAAUCCGGUUUUCGACAGGAGUUUAUCGGGUUUUGUUGUUCAUCUCUUCAUGUGUACAUGGAAAAAUAAAGAACCACAUUUGUCGGCUAUUAAUUGACGAGCUAAGGAAACUUUUUUUUGCUAAAUCUACUGAUGUACCAACAAAAUGAGUGUGAAAGCAAUAUUCCUAACGGCGCACAAGAUUUUCUGAAGUGUAUAAAAAAUGCACAACAUUAGGGUAGUUAUUUAACUAUAUGGAGUGAUUUAAUUUGAGGUGAUCAUCCAUUAGAAUUACCGUAUCUAGAAAUGCUGGAUGUUCCAUAUUUUUUGCUUGUGCUUUAUUUGUAUGACAUCAUCAAAUUUUCAUAGCUGUCUUCUAUCUAUGUUGCUUUUUAUAAUUUAAUAAACGCCAUGAGAUUGUUUUAUGCGCCAAAAAGGUUGCACUACACUUCUAUAAUGAUAACAUAUAUCUUGCUUUCAAA